Molecule: unclassified non-coding RNA, 240 nt
Filed under: soil metagenome
Description: partial contains 5.8S ribosomal RNA, internal transcribed spacer 2, and large subunit ribosomal RNA
Source: RNAcentral
AAGACUAUAGACCUGCGGAGUACCUGCGGAAGGAUCAUUACCGAGUUAUACAACUCCCAAACCCACUGUGAACCUUACCUCAGUUGCCUCGGCGGGAACGCCCCGGCCGCCUGCCCCCGCGCCGGCGCCGGACCCAGGCGCCCGCCGCAGGGACCCCAAACUCUCUUGCAUUACGCCCAGCGGGCGGAAUUUCUUCUCUGAGUUGCACAAGCAAAAACAAAUGAAUCAAAACUUUUAGCA